GCUGGCGGCGUGCCUAACACAUGCAAGUCGAACGAGAAAGUCCGCAAGGAUGAGUACAGUGGCGACCGGGUGAGUAACACGUGACUAACCUACCUCUUAGUGGGGAAUAACUCCGGGAAACCGGAGCUAAUACCGCAUAACAUCGCAAGAUCAAAGCCGAAAGGCGCUGGUAGAGGGGGUCGCGGCUGAUUAGCUAGUUGGUAGGGUAACGGCCUACCAAGGCGAAGAUCGGUAUCCGGCCUGAGAGGGCGCACGGACACACUGGAACUGAAACACGGUCCAGACUCCUACGGGAGGCAGCAGUGGGGAAUUUUGCGCAAUGGGGGAAACCCUGACGCAGCAACGCCGCGUGGAGGAUGAAGUCCCUUGGGAUGUAAACUCCUUUCGACCCGGACGAUACUGACGGUACGGGUGGAAGAAGCACCGGCUAACUCUGUGCCAGCAGCCGCGGUAAUACAGAGGGUGCGAGCGUUGUUCGGAAUUAUUGGGCGUAAAGGGC
RNAcentral lists this ribosomal RNA (499 nucleotides) under uncultured soil bacterium. RNAcentral describes it as "bacterial SSU rRNA". It matches the Rfam family "Bacterial small subunit ribosomal RNA", at positions 35 to 568 of the family's 1533-position model. The record is from RNAcentral.